Paramuricea clavata is the source of this 1543-nucleotide non-coding RNA. NCBI's taxonomy places the organism in Eukaryota, Metazoa, Cnidaria, Anthozoa, Malacalcyonacea, Plexauridae. The record is from the annotation of a GenBank genome assembly.
GUAAUUCAGUUGAGUUAGUUUUCAAGUUGCAUGAGAUUUCAUUAACGUGACAUCACAUAUGUGUCAGUGAAUGUUUUAUCUUUCAUAUCUAAAAGCAUGUACCGAAUAUAGACCAAUAUAUUGUCGAAAGCACUCAGAUGAUAACAUAUAAUGUCCGCAUAUAAUGUCCAUCGCAGAUAUAUAGUAUUGAAAUGAAGUGCCAUACUGUUUAAAUUAACGAUGGAGAGCUGUUUUGUUCAAAUAAUGAACUUUUUUGUAAAUAAUGAUUUUUUAAGCAGGAGCUUGUGGGGCACGCUGACGACCGUGGACGCAAAUCAUACUCAAGAGUGAAGAAUAAAGAAAAUGUAUGCGCAGAAAGAUAAUACAUCGGCUACUUUAAUAUAAAUUAUUUGUUUGCGAAUUGCUUGUUUCUAUGACGAUUGCAGAGAACUCUAGUGGAGGUUCAGACGUUCAGUAGGUUCUGAGUAAGAUAUAAAUUGACGAUCAAUGUCUCAUAGUUAAGUUAAGUUAACAUAACUGUGAUCCGCAGUGCCAGAGUCGAAUAGUAUAGACAGAUGAUUGUCACGUUUAAUAUUGUAUUAUUAAUAAUAUAAGACUUAUGUUUAGUGUAACUGAACCACCUGCAUGUUGAAGUAGGUGCAAAUUUAGAGUGGAAUUUUUAUACACAAACAUUUUACAGUAUUUGGGGCAUCUUACUCGGUAUAACUAAACUAAGUGUUGAAUAGCCUGCGUAGCAGACGUGUUUUUAGGACUUGUGGGCGGGAAAAUUAGGGGGGGGGGGGAGAACUUUUUCCCGCCUGCAAGUCCUCCCCCAAGAAACCGUCUGCUAUACGCAGGCUAAGUGUUAAAGGGUUUGUUAUGGAAAUUUCGAGUGGAAUUUAGAACUACGUAUUUAAGUGUCAACCAAUCGUGGGAGUGUAGACUCUCUGUAGAAACAUGAAGACAGACAUUCUGUAAAGAUAUGUGGAGGGCGAAGCGUGAAAUGACCCACUGAUAUACUGACCUUGGCUUUGGAGAGGAGUUUACGCACACCCUAGCAAAUUUUUCACAUACGAUAGAGUGAUGAAUGACAGAUAAUGUCAACAAAUCGUAUUUGAUAAGUGUUUAAGAGUACUCUGUUUCAGUGCAAAGCAGCGCGUAUCAGCACUAAAGUAAAUAUUUUUCUAGCUAGGGUGGGUUGAAAAAUUUGAAUGUAAAUUUUCAAUGUAUAAAAUUGAAAGUCAAUUUCUCCCUUGUCUAAUGUCUAUAGUCUAUAGAGGCGUUGCAAUACAUGUUGUCGUUGAACGGGAAGCUGACAAUUGUGACUCAAUUCAGCAUCAAACAAUUUUCAUUUUCGGUUCAAAAAUAUAGAAAUUGGAAGAACGAGCCAGUUUAAUUAUUGUAUACUCUGCAUGUCAGAACCCUUUUAUUUCAGUUUGUAUGCAGCUUUGCAAUAUUUCAACAAAUCCAACGGCAACGUAGAAUAAGCUCGUUAUUUUGUAUUUUUAUAUAAGCACGACUUGUAUUAUUUAUAAGCAGUAUCAGUAUAUGAUGUAUUGUCGAC